GUGUCAGCCGCCGCGGUAAUACGUAGGGGGCGAGCGUUGUCCGGAAUUACUGGGCGUAAAGGGUGCGUAGGCGGCCUGAUAAGUCAGAUGUGAAAUACCAGGGCUCAACCCUGGGGGUGCAUUUGAAACUGUCGGGCUUGAGUGCAGGAGAGGAAAGCGGAAUUCCUGGUGUAGCGGUGAAAUGCGUAGAUAUCAGGAGGUACACCAGUGGCGAAGGCGGCUUUCUGGACUGUAACUGACGCUGAGGCACGAAAGCGUGGGGAGCGAACAGGAUUAGAUACCCUGGUAGUCCACGCCGUAAACGACGGAUGCUAGGUGUAGGGAGGGUUAACCUUUCUGUGCCGUAGUUAACGCAAUAAGUAUCCCGCCUGGGGAGUACGUGCGCAAGCAUGAAACUCAAAUAAAUUGGCGG
Molecule: ribosomal RNA, 412 nt
Filed under: uncultured bacterium
Lineage: Bacteria
Description: bacterial SSU rRNA
Rfam family: Bacterial small subunit ribosomal RNA
Source: RNAcentral